GAUGAACGCUGGCGGCGUGCCUAAUACAUGCAAGUCGAGCGAACAGAUAAGGAGCUUGCCCCUUUGACGUUAGCGGCGGACGGGUGAGUAACACGUGGGUAACCUACCUAUAAGACUGGGAUAACUUCGGGAAACCGGAGCUAAUACCGGAUAACAUUUUGAACCGCAUGGUUCUAAAGUGAAAGAUGGUUUUGCUAUCACUUAUAGAUGGACCCGCGCCGUAUUAGCUAGUUGGUAAGGUAACGGCUUACCAAGGCAACGAUACGUAGCCGACCUGAGAGGGUGAUCGGCCACACUGGAACUGAGACACGGUCCAGACUCCUACGGGAGGCAGCAGUAGGGAAUCUUCCGCAAUGGGCGAAAGCCUGACGGAGCAACGCCGCGUGAGUGAUGAAGGGUUUCGGCUCGUAAAACUCUGUUAUUAGGGAAGAACAAAUGUGUAAGUAACUGUGCACGUCUUGACGGUACCUAAUCAGAAAGCCACGGCUAACUACGUG
RNAcentral lists this ribosomal RNA (497 nucleotides) under uncultured bacterium. RNAcentral describes it as "partial 16S ribosomal RNA". It matches the Rfam family "Bacterial small subunit ribosomal RNA", at positions 28 to 507 of the family's 1533-position model. The record is from RNAcentral.